CAGCGAUGCCGCGUGAGUGAUGAAGGCUUUCGGGUCGUAAAACUCUGUUGUUAGGGAAGAACAAGUGCUAGUUGAAUAAGCUGGCACCUUGACGGUACCUAACCAGAAAGCCCCGGUUAACUACGUGCCAGCAGCCGCGGUAAUAC
Molecule: ribosomal RNA, 146 nt
Filed under: uncultured Bacillus sp.
Lineage: Bacteria; Bacillati; Bacillota; Bacilli; Caryophanales; Bacillaceae
Description: partial 16S ribosomal RNA
Rfam family: Bacterial small subunit ribosomal RNA
Source: RNAcentral